CCUGCAUUUGCAUGAUCCAGAAGACAACAUUAACAAACUAAAGAUUAGUGAUCUGUUGUCACAUCUGUGGAUCAAUGACGCAGCUGACAUGAACGAAAGCUCGCCUAUUAAAUAAUAUACAUUGUAUAAGGUGAUAUAAGUUUAAAGAGAAAAUUUAAUUAAAAGCAGCUUAGUUCUUUUGGGGGCACAUAAACAAGGCAAACAUAUGGAAUUUCAGCCUCUUCACAUAAGAUUGGAACAUGAGUGAUCACGCCUAGGCUGGCCUGAAAAAUAAAAAAGCCCAUGACGGCUGGACCGAACCUAGAUCCGUAGAGGAGAUGUUUGCUCGCAAAAGGAAGCUCCUCGAAAGGGAAACAAUUUUUGUGGAGGAUUUGUCUCAAGUCCUUGCAGUUUCAAGAGUGCUACUGGCAGACAAUUGCAAAGGAGCCGGAAAACUUGAUAUCUACCAAAGGAAUGUUAUCCUCAAUGCCGCGAAGGAUCGUCAACUGACAGGACAGGAUAAGUACAUAAAUUUACUCAUUUAUGUACAUUUUAUACUUAGGUUUUGUAUGAGAAACUAGAUUUUAAAAGGGCUUAUUAUUUUACUUUCCUAAUUUUCAGCUUUUC
This 606-nucleotide long non-coding RNA is filed under the name Prunus dulcis (almond). RNAcentral describes it as "sRNA ncRNA". The record is from RNAcentral. Lineage: Eukaryota; Viridiplantae; Streptophyta; Magnoliopsida; Rosales; Rosaceae.